RNAcentral lists this ribosomal RNA (506 nucleotides) under uncultured bacterium. RNAcentral describes it as "partial 16S ribosomal RNA". It matches the Rfam family "Bacterial small subunit ribosomal RNA", at positions 29 to 523 of the family's 1533-position model. The record is from RNAcentral.
AGUGAACGCUGGCGGUAGGCCUAACACAUGCAAGUCGAACGGCAGCACAGGAGAGCUUGCUCUCUGGGUGGCGAGUGGCGGACGGGUGAGGAAUACAUCGGAAUCUACUCUGUCGUGGGGGAUAACGUAGGGAAACUUACGCUAAUACCGCAUACGACCUACGGGUGAAAGCAGGGGACCUUCGGGCCUUGCGCGAUUGAAUGAGCCGAUGUCGGAUUAGCUAGGUGGCGGGGUAAAGGCCCACCAAGGCGACGAUCCGUAGGUGGUCUGAGAGGAUGGUCAGCCACACUGCAACUGAGACACCGCCCAGACGCCUACGGGGUGCAGCAGUGGGGAAGAUUGGACAAUGGGCGCAAGCCUGAUCCAGCCAUACCGCGUGGGUGAAGAAGGCCUUCGGGUUGUAAAGCCCUUUUGUUGGGAAAGAAAUCCAGCUGGCUAAUACCCGGUUGGGAUGACGGUACCCAAAGAAUAAGCACCGGCUAACUUCGUGCCAGCCGCCGCGGUAA